GGAUAGUUUCAGUAAAUAUUCCGUGACAUGUCAAGUCCGUUGCAACUUGCUCCAAUAAGUCCAAAGAAAAGACAAAAGUCGUUCAAUUUUAUGCAGUGCUUAAUAUGCAAAAAAAGCAAACUCGACUGAAAUUUUGAGUCAAUUUACCCAUACAGCGAAGUCGAUUUUUGUAUCUGCAUCGAAUAAAAAAUUGGAUGAGGUGAACAUCAAGAUG
RNAcentral lists this long non-coding RNA (214 nucleotides) under Mytilus galloprovincialis (Mediterranean mussel). The record is from RNAcentral. Lineage: Eukaryota; Metazoa; Mollusca; Bivalvia; Mytilida; Mytilidae.